UCGUAGUUGGAUCUGCGCCUGAGGACUCGGUCCGUCCACUGGGCGUGAACUGAGCUCCUAGGCAGUUUUGCUGGUUUUCCCUUCGUUGCCUUAAUUGGUAGCGUCGGGUGGCUAGCGAGCUUACUUUGAAAAAAUUAGAGUGCUCCAAACAGGUUUACGCCUGUAUAGCCGUGCAUGGAAUAAUGGAAUAGGAUCUCGGUUCUAUUUUGUUGGUUUCUGAACCGAGAUAAUGGUUAAGAGGGACAAGACGGGGGCAUUCGUAUCGCUGCGUGAGAGGUGAAAUUCUUGGACCGUAGCGAGACGCCCGACUGCGAAAGCA
RNAcentral lists this ribosomal RNA (319 nucleotides) under Gnathostoma oligomucronatum. RNAcentral describes it as "SSU rRNA". It matches the Rfam family "Eukaryotic small subunit ribosomal RNA", at positions 628 to 953 of the family's 1831-position model. Lineage: Eukaryota; Metazoa; Nematoda; Chromadorea; Rhabditida; Gnathostomatidae. The record is from RNAcentral.